GCGUCCUUGUCCUUAUUUGCCAUCAUUUAGUUCGGCACUCUAGGGAGACUGCCGGUGACAAACCGGAGGAAGGUGGGGACGACAUCUAGUCAUCAUGGCCCUUACGACCAGGGCUACACACGUGCUACAAUGGAGCGUACAAAGGGCUGCGAUCUCGCGAGAGUCAGCUAAUCCCAUAAAACGCUUCGUAGUCCGGAUCGCAUCUGCAACUCGACUGCGUGAAGUCGGAAUCGCUAGUAAUCGUAGAUCACAAUGCUACGGUGAAUACGUUCCCGGGCCUUGUACACACCGCCCGUA
This 297-nucleotide ribosomal RNA is filed under the name uncultured Gammaproteobacteria bacterium. RNAcentral describes it as "partial 16S ribosomal RNA". It matches the Rfam family "Bacterial small subunit ribosomal RNA", at positions 1096 to 1398 of the family's 1533-position model. The record is from RNAcentral. Lineage: Bacteria; Pseudomonadati; Pseudomonadota; Gammaproteobacteria.